RNAcentral lists this ribosomal RNA (253 nucleotides) under uncultured bacterium. Its description in RNAcentral is "partial 16S ribosomal RNA". It matches the Rfam family "Bacterial small subunit ribosomal RNA", at positions 524 to 776 of the family's 1533-position model. The record is from RNAcentral.
UACGAAGGGGGCUAGCGUUGCUCGGAAUUACUGGGCGUAAAGGGCGCGUAGGCGGCACUGUUAGUCAGGCGUGAAAUUCCUGGGCUCAACCUGGGGACUGCGCUUGAUACGGCAGAGCUUGAGGAUGGAAGAGGGUCGCGGAAUUCCCAGUGUAGAGGUGAAAUUCGUAGAUAUCUGGAGGAACACCGGUGGCGAAGGCGGCAUCCUGGACCGACACUGACGCUGAGGAGCGAAAGCCAGGGGAGCAAACGGG